Sorghum bicolor (sorghum) is the source of this 2245-nucleotide long non-coding RNA. RefSeq lists it as uncharacterized. The record is from RefSeq and is a predicted model, not a curated record. The transcript is spliced from 2 exons. Lineage: Eukaryota; Viridiplantae; Streptophyta; Magnoliopsida; Poales; Poaceae.
GGAGGGUUCCCCGUGAUUUCCCCGCGCCGAGAAACCACGCGACGAUUUUCCCUGCCACAAUCUGUCGCGCUCUUUGGAAGCACACCCACGCGGGGACAGCAGCCCGUUUCCCUUCAUUUUCCACGCGGAAGAAAUCCAGGAGUCAUGCGGCCGGGAGCGUUUCCUCUUCCCUGACCCCGUCGCUCGCUCGACGACUCACGAGGGGGCGGCCGCCGCCGCCACCGUCGCCAUCACCCCGGCGGCUCAUGGUCGACGCAUCGCUCUUGUCGUGCAUCUCCCGGUGGCCGGCAACUGGUGUGCAUCUCCUGGUUCCCGGCGAUGCAUCUCUCGCGAAUCGCGAUCGUGCCGCCACCGCCGCAAGAUCCACAUCUCGGAGCAGCACCUCCACCUCCACCUCAGCCCCGUCCUCCUAGCAGGGCAAAAUCUCGUAGAUCUUGGGGUGACCGAGCUGCCGUAUCCUCCUCCAUACUCCAGCAUCCAUGGAGAAGCGUCGUGCCACCGAGCCUAUCUCCAUACCUCACUCAGCCGAAGCGUGUGCCAGUAAUUGAUGCUGGAGAUGGCGUGCAUGUGUCUUCAGGUGCAUCAACAAAUGCCGUUGCUGAAGACGAAGGAGCAGGUGAUACAUUGAGUUAAAAUUUCAGUUUUAGUUUCAGGUUCAGGUUUAGUUAAAUUUAGUUGCAGCAAUUAGGAUCAAGUUCAGGUUUAGUUCAAUUUAGUAGUCUUAGUACACUCUAAUGGGUAAAGGUUCAGGUUCAAUUUAGCAAUCAGGUUCAGGUUCAGUUAUCUUUUUAAGUCUAUUUAGUUGCACAGACCAAUAUUAACAAUUAGGUUCAGGUUUAGGUACUGUAGUCUGUAGAUUGUCCCUGGAAUUUGAGUACUGAUUCUGAUUGCUCGUAGCAGAGUAUGAGAACAAACAUUGGAGUAUAUGAUGAGCUUCCUUUUUUCAAAAAGGAAAUGCAGUUUUAAUCAUUUUAGGAAAUGCAACUUUAAUUAUUAUUUUACUGUAGUCUGUAGAUUGUCCCUGGAAUUUCAGUGAUUGUUCCUCGUUCUCCCAAAUAAUGUUGAUGGGCUGUCCAACAAUAAUUUCUUUUUUUAGAGGAAGCAAUAAAUUCUUUACAUCUUGUGUAGGGACAGUUAUGAAAAGGAGCUGUUGUUUGAGUUUAGUAGAUGCUCUGGUUCUGCUAGCUGCUUCCUACUUCUAGUAUGACCAGUACUCUAGAAUUAGAUUGGUUUGUGUGGCAGAUACAAAACUAUGUCUAAAUUUAUGUGUUCUAGCUAACUACUAGUAUGACCAGUACUACCGCACAUUUUGUGUUUUAGUUUUCAGCUUCAAAAAGGGUGCUGUAUUUUUAACACUUGUUUUUUUAAUCGCCUUCUGCUAUAGGGUCACCGGAAUUCUGCUCACUGCAACUUUGUCGCUGAAGACAUCUAGCUGACAAUUGACAUCUGUAGAGGUAUUUUGCCGCAGCAGAGUUUGAACCAUUUCGGUCAGCUCUUGCUAGCCCCUAUAGAGGUAUUUUGCUGCACUAGAGUUCAGUUUGGUUCAGUUUUAAUGCUUAUAAUUAAUAAAUAUACUACAUUUGCUAAUAGCUCUCUCUAAAAUGUCUAUAAUCAGGUUUGCUAAUAGCUCUCUCUAGAACAGAAUGAUAUAUGUGUAGUAUGUCUUAGCCUUCUAUAUCUUGUGAUAGAGAGGUGAGUGAGCCCCUUGUUUUGACCAUUUUAUUUGUACAAAGAUAAGGGAGAUAUGCAUGCAACUCACCAGUUCAUGAUAUGAAAUGUGUAUCAAGCAUGACACUUCACGUUGUUCUGCUGCAUAUUCUUGGAACUCACCAUUUCUUUUGUGUUACUUAUACAGGACCAGUGGAAGCAACACAUGAUCAGAGAAAAGUGAAGUGGCCUUCAUAAUUAGCAUCUGAGAAACGUUUAAAAUCAUAGAUAGAUUUUGCUCUUCAUGUCUAUCAUUUUUUAUAUACAUGCACCUACUAUUUGUCCAUUUUUUAUGCUGCUGUUGUCUAUGUAAUAUAUUGGUGUGAGCUGGAGGGCUAAUUUAAAUAUUGGUGCAGAUUUUAGCUUUCAGUUCAUAUAACCUAGUUUAUGUCUGUGUAUUGGAUGUAAAGCAUGGAAACCAUCUGUAUCCAUGCUAGCUAUUACUGAUACUAUAACCUGGUUGACAUGAUUUUAGACUUGAAUUAUGUAUUUGUAUAGAGACUUAGUCCUGAGUUUUUCCUGGUUUGUGGUUCUAACA